AUAGGGGAGCCGCAGGGAAACCGAGUCUUAACUGGGCGUUAAGUUGCAGGGUAUAGACCCGAAACCCGGUGAUCUAGCCAUGGGCAGGUUGAAGGUUGGGUAACACUAACUGGAGGACCGAACCGACUAAUGUUGAAAAAUUAGCGGAUGACUUGUGGCUGGGGGUGAAAGGCCAAUCAAACCGGGAGAUAGCUGGUUCUCCCCGAAAGCUAUUUAGGUAGCGCCUCGUGAACUCAUCUUCGGGGGUAGAGCACUGUUUCGGCUAGGGGGUCAUCCCGACUUACCAACCCGAUGCAAACUACGAAUACCGAAGAAUGUUAUCACGGGAGACACACGGCGGGUGCUAACGUCCGUCGUGAAGAGGGAAACAACCCAGACCGCCAGCUAAGGUCCCAAAGUCAUGGUUAAGUGGGAAACGAUGUGGGAAGGCCCAGACAGCCAGGAUGUUGGCUUAGAAGCAGCCAUCAUUUAAAGAAAGCGUAAUAGCUCACUGGUCGAGUCGGCCUGCGCGGAAGAUGUAACGGGGCUAAACCAUGCACCGAAGCUGCGGCAGCGACACUAUGUGUUGUUGGGUAGGGGAGCGUUCUGUAAGCCGUUGAAGGUGGCCUGUGAGGGUUGCUGGAGGUAUCAGAAGUGCGAAUGCUGACAUAAGUAACGAUAAUGCGGGUGAAAAACCCGCACGCCGGAAGACCAAGGGUUCCUGUCCAACGUUAAUCGGGGCAGGGUGAGUCGACCCCUAAGGCGAGGCCGAAAGGCGUAGUCGAUGGGAAACAGGUUAAUAUUCCUGUACUUGGUGUUACUGCGAAGGGGGGACGGAGAAGGCUAUGUUGGCCGGGCGACGGUUGUCCCGGUUUAAGCAUGUAGGCGGAUGUUCCAGGUAAAUCCGGAACGUUAUUAACGCUGAGGUGUGAUGACGAGGCACUACGGUGCUGAAGUGACAAAUGCCCUGCUUCCAGGAAAAGCCUCUAAGCAUCAGGUAACAUCAAAUCGUACCCCAAACCGACACAGGUGGUCAGGUAGAGAAUACCAAGGCGCUUGAGAGAACUCGGGUGAAGGAACUAGGCAAAAUGGUGCCGUAACUUCGGGAGAAGGCACGCUGAUGGUAAGUGAAGUGACUUGCUCAUGGAGCUGAAAUCAGUCGAAGAUACCAGCUGGCUGCAACUGUUUAUUAAAAACACAGCACUGUGCAAACACGAAAGUGGACGUAUACGGUGUGACGCCUGCCCGGUGCCGGAAGGUUAAUUGAUGGGGUUAUCCUCGCGGAGAAGCUCUUGAUCGAAGCCCCGGUAAACGGCGGCCGUAACUAUAACGGUCCUAAGGUAGCGAAAUUCCUUGUCGGGUAAGUUCCGACCUGCACGAAUGGCGUAAUGAUGGCCAGGCUGUCUCCACCCGAGACUCAGUGAAAUUGAACUCGCUGUGAAGAUGCAGUGUACCCGCGGCAAGACGGAAAGACCCCGUGAACCUUUACUAUAGCUUGACACUGAACACUGGUCCUUGAUGUGUAGGAUAGGUGGGAGGCUUUGAAGUGUGGACGCCAGUCUGCAUGGAGCCGUCCUUGAAAUACCACCCUUUAAUGGCUGGUGUUCUAACGUGGGCCCGUGAUCCGGGUUGCGGACAGUGUCUGGUGGGUAGUUUGACUGGGGCGGUCUCCUCCUAAAGAGUAACGGAGGAGCACGAAGGUCAGCUAAUCCUGGUCGGACAUCAGGAGGUUAGUGCAAUGGCAUAAGCUGGCUUGACUGCGAGCGUGACGGCGCGAGCAGGUGCGAAAGCAGGUCAUAGUGAUCCGGUGGUUCUGAAUGGAAGGGCCAUCGCUCAACGGAUAAAAGGUACUCCGGGGAUAACAGGCUGAUACCGCCCAAGAGUUCAUAUCGACGGCGGUGUUUGGCACCUCGAUGUCGGCUCAUCACAUCCUGGGGCUGAAGUAGGUCCCAAGGGUAUGGCUGUUCGCCAUUUAAAGUGGUACGCGAGCUGGGUUUAGAACGUCGUGAGACAGUUCGGUCCCUAUCUGCCGUGGGCGCUGGAGAAUUGAGGGGGGCUGCUCCUAGUACGAGAGGACCGGAGUGGACGCAUCACUGGUGUUCGGGUUGUCAUGCCAAUGGCAUUGCCCGGUAGCUAAAUGCGGAAGAGAUAAGUGCUGAAAGCAUCUAAGCACGAAACUUGCCCCGAGAUGAGUUCUCCCUGAC
RNAcentral lists this ribosomal RNA (2183 nucleotides) under Klebsiella oxytoca. RNAcentral describes it as "partial 23S ribosomal RNA". It matches the Rfam family "Bacterial large subunit ribosomal RNA", at positions 657 to 2819 of the family's 2925-position model. The record is from RNAcentral. Lineage: Bacteria; Pseudomonadati; Pseudomonadota; Gammaproteobacteria; Enterobacterales; Enterobacteriaceae.